CCUACGGGAGGCAGCAGUGGGGAAUAUUGGGCAAUGGGCGCAAGCCUGACCCAGCAACGCCGCGUGAAGGAAGAAGGCUUUCGGGUUGUAAACUUCUUUUGUCAGGGAAGAGUAGAAGACGGUACCUGACGAAUAAGCCACGGCUAACUACGUGACAGCAGCCGCGGUAAUACGUAGGGGGCAAGCGUUGUCCGGAUUUACUGGGUGUAAAGGGCGUGUAGCCGGGUUGACAAGUCAGAUGUGAAAUCCUGCGGCUUAACCGCAGAACUGCAUUUGAAACUGUGGAUCUUGAGUACUGGAGAGGCUGACGGAAUUCCAGGUGUAGCAGUGAAAUGCGUAGAUAUUAGGAGGAACACCAGUGGCGAAGGCGGUCUGCUGGACAGCAACUGACGGUGAGGCGCGAAAGCGUGGGGAGCAAACAGGAUUAGAUACCCUUGUAGUC
This 442-nucleotide ribosomal RNA is filed under the name uncultured bacterium. Its description in RNAcentral is "partial 16S ribosomal RNA". It matches the Rfam family "Bacterial small subunit ribosomal RNA", at positions 338 to 795 of the family's 1533-position model. The record is from RNAcentral.